GCGGGAGGCGGUGGGCGUCGCGCGCCCUAGCGGGCCGCGCCGCUCCCGUCCCCGCCGGCGGCGCCAAACUCUAAAUUUACAGCGGACUGUACGUUCUGAUUUACAAUAAAAACAAGUUAAAACUUUCAACAACGGAUCUCUUGGUUCUGGCAUCGAUGAAGAACGCAGCGAAAUGCGAUAAGUAAUGUGAAUUGCAGAAUUCAGUGAACCAUCGAAUCUUUGAACGCACAUUGCGCCCGGCAGUAAUCUGCCGGGCAUGCCUGUCCGAGCGUCAUUUCUGCCCUCGAGCGAGUCCAGCAUCUAGGUGCUGGGCCUCGCCCGGCGUUGGGGCACUACGGGAAGCCCUGUGCUGUCCCCCGUAGGCCCCGAAAUGAAGUGGCGGUCCUGCCGCGGCGCCCCCUGCGUAGUAUAACAGCUCGCUUCGGGACCCGGUGGAGGCCUGCCGUCAAACCUAUACUCUCUAAGUUUGACCUCGGAUCAGGUAGGGUUACCCGCUGAACUUAAGCAUAUCAA
Molecule: ribosomal RNA, 513 nt
Filed under: Cephalotrichum dendrocephalum
Lineage: Eukaryota; Fungi; Ascomycota; Sordariomycetes; Microascales; Microascaceae
Description: eukaryotic LSU rRNA
Rfam family: 5.8S ribosomal RNA (bases 121-274)
Source: RNAcentral